GCUCAUCAGUUCGGCAAGUCUCGGCUGUGUUCGGCUGAUUCCGCGAGUAACAAACGCUCCACCAUUUUGCAUAGUUACGCGCGUGUUGAAGGCUCCCCUGCUCCUGUGAUCAGUAUCACACCGUGAAGAACGUUUUCCCUGCAAUGGACGGCAUUGCAAGUGAUGUUGCAGUUGGUGUGAAGAGAAGCUCAGAUGACUUGCUGUCUGGCAGUCUGUACAGUAGUCCAAAUUCUUCAGUCACUGCUAAUGGAAGUGACAGUAAAAAACUGAGGGUGGAGGACAGCAUGGACAGCCCACCAUCAAGAGUUAUUCAUAUCCGUAAACUCCCCAAUGAGGUUUCUGAGACUGAGGUCAUCGCCCUGGGAUUGCCCUUUGGAAAGGUCACAAAUAUACUAAUGCUUAAAGGCAAAAAUCAGGCAUUUUUAGAGCUGGGAACCGAGGAAGCAGCUGUUACCAUGGUGAACUACUACACAGCUGUUACACCUCAAGUGCGUAAUGUCCCAGUGUUCAUUCAGUACUCCAACCACAAAGAGCUCAAGACAGACAGUGCACUCAACCAGCGAGCUCAGGCCGUGCUGCAGGCGGUGUCAGCUGUCCAGGAGGGCGGCUCUCCAAGCUCGGACAUGGCCAGCAAGAGUGUGUUAACGCCUGCCCCCAGCCCAGUACUGCGAAUAAUCAUCGACAACAUGUUCUACCCAGUCACCCUGGACGUCCUCCAACAGAUCUUCUCCAAGUUUGGGACGGUCAUGAAGAUAAUCACGUUUACCAAAAAUAAUCAGUUUCAGGCUCUUCUGCAGUUCAGUGACCCAGUAAAUGCCCAGCAGGCCAAACUGUCCUUGGACGGCCAGAACAUUUACAACUCUUGUUGCACUCUGCGCAUUGACUUCUCCAAGCUGGUCAACCUGAAUGUAAAAUACAACAAUGACAAAAGCCGGGAUUAUACCCGACCCGAGCUGCCAGCGGGAGAUGGCCAACCACCAGUGGACCCGUCUAUGGCCGCCGCUCUCAGCAAAGAUUCCCCCUCCCUGCUUGGUACUCCCUCUGGAAUGGUAACUUCCUACUCUAGUGGUGGAGGGUUUCCAUCUUCUCUAGGGGCCAUCAGCCCUCUGAGCGCAGCAGCGGCGGCAGCAGCAGCAGCAGGGAGGGUAGCGUUGUCCGGUCAUUCAGUACCUGGCGGAGUGCUACUGGUCAGCAAUCUCAAUGAUGAGGUGUCUACGGUGACGUGCAACGCGUGAAAAUCCUUUACAAUAAGAAGGACAGUGCUUUAAUCCAGAUGUCUGAUGGAAACCAGGCCCAGUUGGCCAUGAGCCAUCUGAACGGGCAGAAGAUGUAUGGCAAGAUCAUUCGUGUGACCCUUUCGAAGCACCAGACGGUACAGCUACCCAGGGAAGGUUUAGAUGAUCAGGGCCUGACAAAGGACUUCACUAGUUCUCCACUGCACCGCUUCAAAAAGCCUGGCUCUAAAAACUUCCAGAACAUCUUCCCCCCUUCAGCUACACUUCAUCUCUCUAACAUACCUGACAAUGUGACAGAGGAGGAUUUACGACUGCUCUUCUCAAACUCCGGCGGUACAGUGAAAGCGUUCAAGUUUUUCCAAGAUCGCAAAAUGUCUCUGCUGCAGAUGGCCACGGCCGAGGAGGCAAUUCAGGCCCUCAUCGACCUUCACAACUAUGACAUGGGCCGCGGCCACCGUCUGAGAGUGUCCUUCUCAAAGUCCACCAUCUGAGGACCCGCUGGUGCUCUCUUACCUUUCCUCUCUCUCCCCCAGGAGCCUCAAGUCCAGUUCAGUUUUAUUUGUACCAGUCAUUCCUUAACACCAUAUCAAAAACUUCAAUGAGAAUGGCCCUAAAGGAACACUCGCUCUCUAUCUGCUCCUGCUAUUUGUGUUUGGCCAGCUGUUAUUCUGUUUUAGGAUGGAUUGACAAAAAUGUGCCUUACUUAGCAAAAUAGCGUCAUCUUUUUUGCUCCCAUUGACACAGGUUAUAGUAGUUCAGUCACAUUACACACAGUGUGUUAUUUUUACAAUCACCUGGCUUUGUUGUUUUGAUGGUUUCUGAAAGUGAUAUUUAGCUUUUGCCCAAUGUGUUUUCAUUUGGUCUUUGAUGAAAAAAUUGAUGAAGCUUUGAAAGCUAGGCGACCUUUUUUUUAACGUCUGUUGAAUCUGAAGAUAAGUAAGCAAAUUUGAUGGAGCGUACUCCAUUUUGUAAAUGAUCUUCUGCAUUUUUUUAUUAUUUAGGGCUGUAGUAUUAUUUCGUUUUCUUUGAUCAGGCAUCCGAGGUACUUUCUGUGAUUGAAACCUGUGGUAAACAAAACACUGGCAGGGGGGAGCAUCGUGUGUGACGUGUAGUACCUGCUUUGAUAUUUCUCACUUUUGCUUCAGUGAAUUCUGUUUCCCGUUUUUUAGAUGAAAAUCCGAGCAUGUGCUGAUGGAUCUCGGCAGUUGCAUGUGUCAGAUUGACCAUGUUUGAUGUUGUGAAUUCACAUUAAUGUAGGGACUGUUGGGACCAAAGUAAAUGUGCCUUUAGUCUUACUUUAUUCUGCAUUGUACAAAAUGUUUUAUUCAACCUCGGGAAUAUUUUUAUCAACGGAGACUUUCCAACAGACAUCACUCACGUGAAAGAUCCAUAAUUGUCUUUGAUUGUGGUUUUGAUAGAGAAUCGCUCGCUGAUUCUAUUGCAAAAUUACCCUUUUUCUUCUUUUUUGUGGUUUAGACCUAAGAAACCAAUGGGAGUGGGGGUGUUCUGUACAUUUUUUACAUGAAUUGAGUUUUUACAUCUUUAGGAAUGUAAUGUUCAGUAUAGAAGCGGCACAAUUAAAAGUUCAUUUUUCUACCAAGUUUGUGCUUGACGGUCCCUGUGUGGUGUAGUGCUUUUAUCCUGUAGCAUGCUGAAUAAACUCUUCUCGCUCUGCAUUCA
Danio rerio (zebrafish) is the source of this 2915-nucleotide non-coding RNA. NCBI's taxonomy places the organism in Eukaryota, Metazoa, Chordata, Actinopteri, Cypriniformes, Danionidae. The record is from RefSeq and is a predicted model, not a curated record.